Molecule: non-coding RNA, 181 nt
Filed under: Deefgea sp. CFH1-16
Lineage: Bacteria; Pseudomonadati; Pseudomonadota; Betaproteobacteria; Neisseriales; Chitinibacteraceae
Also listed under: 1 other name
Description: 6S RNA
Rfam family: 6S / SsrS RNA
About the family: E. coli 6S RNA was the first non coding RNA to be sequenced, but its function was unknown until recently. It consists of 184 nucleotides that fold into an extended hairpin structure with a large single-stranded internal bulge.
Source: RNAcentral
GCUUUCCUGCGGUGUUCGCGACGGUUCUAAAUCUUUGAACCGAUAAGCUGUAUAGCACGUUUGCCAGUCAUCUAGACGCCUGUUGUGAGCGUUCCUUGAGAAUGCACCUGAUGGCAUCUGACCGGCAACAACUUGAACCAUGGGUUCAAGAUGCGAACCGAAACGGCACUGUGGGAAGCCC